AAUCAAAAGCCUUUUUUCUUCUGUAUACGCAUCAGUGCUUGCGUUCAGCGAAUUGUGAAGCAGUGAAAGGUGUAGCGAGAUCAACAUGAGGGGAAGAAGCUACAGCUACAGCCCGUCACCUCCGAGGCGUCACAGCCGAAGAAGGCGCAGUCCUAGCCCUAGGGGUCGUUAUGGAGGUCGUGGUAGGGAUUUGCCAACGAGUCUUCUGGUUCGGAACCUCCACAGAGAUUGCAGGCCAGAAGAUUUGCAUGGCCCAUUUGGUCAAUUUGGUCCUCUCAAGGAUGUUUACCUGCCGCGAGAUUAUUAUACUGGAGUUGAAGAGAAGAAUGAAGUAAUAAGAGUACUGUGUUGAAGAGAAGAAAGAAGUAAUAAGAGUGUCAUGUUGAAGAUACCAAUCAAGUAAUAAGAGUUCCUUUCAAGGUGAUGUUAGUGACCUUGAAGGUUCGGAAGGUUGAGUUUGAAUUCCUUGUGAAGAAGUUCAAGUCUUGAAGAUUUUCAUCUCAAUUAGUACUUUGGCUUCUACAAGGCACCCAAGAGGUUUUGGGUUUGUUCAAUAUGUGGACCCAGCUGAUGCUGCAGAUGCAAAGUAUCACAUGGAUGGUCAAAUUCUUCUUGGUCGGGAGUUGAUUGUGGUCUUUGCUGAAGAAAACAGAAAGAAGCCUGCUGAAAUGAGAGCAAGAGAACAUCGGAGGAGAUCUCCACUUCGUCUUUCUCGAUCCCCACGCUAUGCACGAACCUAUUCACCUAGUCCAGACUAUUCACCUUCCCCAAGACGGAGGAGAUAUUACAGGUCAAUCUCACCAAGAGACAGAAACUUUAGGGAGCGAUCAUACUCUCGAUCUCGAUCACCUUAUAGGUCGAGAAGCCGCAGCAGAAGUAGGAGUUACAGCAGGAGCAUGAGCCAAAGUCCGGGGUACUCUAGGUGAUUAACUUGAUACAAGCUUGGGGAAUGUGGUGGAAAAUGCUGUAGUUUUCAUUUGUUUUUUAUGAGGCUUGUGUGCUCAAAUACAUCAGACUUUCAGUAGUUUUUUUAUAUCUGGUAGAAAGGAUCUGUCGUGGUUUUCUUUCAGCCUUGUGACAAGACAACUUUUGUUUGUGCUUGUUUGGCCAAGAUUUCUAUUUGUGCUUUGC
RNA transcript from Abrus precatorius (Indian licorice), 1131 nucleotides. It is a transcript of the gene named serine/arginine-rich SC35-like splicing factor SCL33, with no coding region annotated. The record is from RefSeq and is a predicted model, not a curated record. Lineage: Eukaryota; Viridiplantae; Streptophyta; Magnoliopsida; Fabales; Fabaceae. The transcript has 7 exons.